Molecule: transfer RNA, 64 nt
Filed under: Acanthaspis cincticrus
Lineage: Eukaryota; Metazoa; Arthropoda; Insecta; Hemiptera; Reduviidae
Description: tRNA-Asp
Rfam family: tRNA
About the family: Transfer RNA (tRNA) molecules are approximately 80 nucleotides in length.
Source: RNAcentral
AAGAGAUUAGUUUAAAUAAAACAUUAGAUUGUCAAACUAAAGAUAUUAAAUUUAAUAUCCCUUA